CCUACGGGGGGCAGCAGUGGGGAAUAUUGCACAAUGGGCGCAAGCCUGAUGCAGCCAUGCCGCGUGUGUGAAGAAGGCCUUCGGGUUGUAAAGCACUCUCAGCGGGGAGGAAGGCGUUAAGGUUAAUAACCUUGGCGAUUGACGUUACCCGCGGAAGAAGCACCGGCUAACUCCGUGCCAGCAGCCGCGGUAAUACGGAGGGUGCAAGCGUUAAUCGGAAUUACUGGGCGUAAAGCGCACGCAGGCGGUCUGUCAAGUCGGAUGUGAAAUCCCCGGGCUCAACCUGGGAACUGCAUUCGAAACUGGCAGGCUAGAGUCUUGUAGAGGGGGGUAGAAUUCCAGGUGUAGCGGUGAAAUGCGUAGAGAUCUGGAGGACUACCGGUGGCGAAGGCGGCCCCCUGGACAAAGACUGACGCUCAGGUGCGAAAGCGUGGGGAGCAAACAGGAUUAGAUACCCCUGUAGUC
Molecule: ribosomal RNA, 465 nt
Filed under: uncultured Klebsiella sp.
Lineage: Bacteria; Pseudomonadati; Pseudomonadota; Gammaproteobacteria; Enterobacterales; Enterobacteriaceae
Description: bacterial SSU rRNA
Rfam family: Bacterial small subunit ribosomal RNA
Source: RNAcentral